GCCGCGGCCUUGUAGCCAUUCAACUCAGGGAAUCCCAACGGCGCCAACAGCGGGACGCCUAUGGGAAGAGCUGUUCCCUCCUUGCCCCGCCUCCUGCCGUGACGCAGCUUAGUCCAGCCCCUCCCUUGCCGCGGCUGCGGUAGAGAAGCUCCGCAGCGCAGCCACGUCUCCCGCGAUUAUCUCCCGGCCCCGGUGUCUCCGCUGCGGGCGCAGCUUUUGCCGGGCCGGUGUCAGUCGGUGCUGGGGGGAGGCGGAGGCGGAGGCGGAGGCGAACUUCUCGUGCCCCCCCGUGCAGAGGGACCGCCCCGCACGGAAGCCAGCGGCCCCACGGGCAGCGGGGGGACCUGGGGGAGGGGAUCCGAGCCUUGCAGGAGCCCGAGGGGGAUCGGGGGAGCGAAAAACCCAGGACCCCCUGCAGUGGGUCUGCGAGGAGGAUCAGACCCGCCCCCCUGCGUGGUGUGUCACAGGUCCCGGGCGCACCGCACUCCCGCGUUGGUUCCCACCGAGGCGGCUGCCUGGGAUUACAAGAAAGGAAACCAAACUACUAGCCGAAAGUUUAUAGCAAGCAGCCCGUCGCCCACUGUCUCUACUCCCCACCCAGGGCAGGUGGAAAGACCCAGGAUCCUGGCUGCCCGCGCGGCUCUCCCCAGGAAUGCACUGAGCAGGUUCACAGGAAGCAGGGGCUUCCCAAUGUCCAGGCUUGCCAGUCCUCCAGGAUUGUCCUGGAGUCUCCAGGAAUUAAAGAUUCAUCUCCAAUUAAAGAUUGUCCUUGGAUGAAAUCUCCAGGAAUAUGCCCAACCAAAAUUGGCAGCACCACCCAUUCCUAGUCACUGCAGCGACUGUGAGGUGCUGCAGGAGACUUAAUUCGGUGAAACAGGGACUUCCCUGCAUCUAGUUCCGUGCAGUGUUGCCAAUGUAGUCAUUGGUUGGAAAUUUGAACUGAAAUGGAAACAUUAAUAAGCACUUUAAAAAAGCACACACAGUGCAUGAUAAAAUACUUGUACCUGAGAAAGUAGAAUAGGUGUGAAAAGUCUGAACAAAGACCAGCUUCCUCUUACAGCUGUUGUUUUUUCUAACAUUGACUUAUUGGUUUUUGACAGUGUUGGCUAACGUUAUAAUUUAAAAUUACGGUUUGUAAGCAAGGUCCAAAUGAGCCCUUCUCUGACAGUUAGUGAUGAACCAGGCUGGGCAGCAAUGGAGAGUCAUGUGGGGGCCUGAGCAGACUCCUGCCCAGUGUCCCUGCCCCCCCAGGCUUCCUGCCCAGGGCAGGUGAAGGGUUCACAGUUCCUGCACAUAUACUAAAAUUGGAACGAUACAGAGAAGAUUAGCAUGGCCCCUGCGCAAGGAUGACACGCAAAUUCGUGAAGCAUUCCAUAUUUUUUCUCACAGCUGCUUGUUCGUCUCUUACCGUCAGAGCCUUACGCGGAUACAAAGUUUGUAUCCACAUUCGCACUAUCCAUGAAAAUGGUCCACGGAUAUCCGCAGAUAUGAAAUGGUUACCCACGGAUUUGCAGGGCUCUGCUCUUCGUGCUUGAAAUACAUGGGAAAUAUUAGUUUUGCCAUCUGCUCUGGGGAGCCAUAUAGAUAUGCUAAAUGCCUUGUAAGGAAUCUAUUUGUCAAAAAAGAUUUCCUGAAUAUUUUUGUUUGUCUAUAUUGUUAUUCACAUACUUGCUGACAGGCAUUUUGAAAUAAAUUACCAAAAUAAUUGGAAGUGGCAUGAUUAUACUGUGUUGUUUUAACACCUAAAAUAUGCAGAAUUUUAAAAUACCAUGUGCAGAGUUUUUAAUUCUUUGGCACAGAAUUCACUCAGGACCAAAAAUAUAUAAGGCCUGGUCUAGAUUACUGGUAGGUCAAUAUAAGCUGCCUUCCAUCGAUUAGCUGUAGAAGUGUUUUCAUUUAAAUUUGGCUCCUUUUGACGGAAGUGCCUUUCUACGCCCACCUAAUAACACCACCUCUCUGAGUUGCGUAGACUCAUGGUGAAUGUCAUUACGUUGGGGUAGUGUCAGUGCAGACACUGUGUUGCUUUCUGGGACUGUUACUGGCUUUCAGGGACUGUUGCACAGUGCCCCCCACUGACAGUACAAUCGAUACACGCGCUCAUGGUGAUGAUGUGCACUGCCAACGCAAUGAGCCAAAUGUGUAUGCACACAAGCGAUUUAAGAACUGUGAUGGCUGUGUGCUAACAUAAAUAAAGUCGAUCCAAUUGUGUCGCGUAGACCUGGCCUCACAUACCAUGUUUCUUUGCUCAGAAACCAAUCCAGAUGCAAGUGCAGACUUGGAAGGAAAAGAUAGACCAAGGAGAGGAGAAAACAGAAAUACAUGGAGAACGCAGGUGCUGAGAGACGGAAAGAUAUGCUGGAAAUUAUGCAACUCUUUUAGUUUAUGAAGGAAGACAUGGAACUGGUGAUCGAUGUAGCAGAGCAAAACUUUUUGAUGGGAAGUGUGGAGAAUAUGCACAAUGAAUAUGUCGCCAAACGCUCCGCGGAGAUUUCCCAUCUCAGCGAGCUGAUUGAUGAGAUGGAGGGGAAGUGCCAGCAGCAGCGAGUGAAUUCCUGCAGGACAUCAGAAGCGCCUUAGCCAGGUACGUGCUUCCUUCUCACUCUCUCUCUCUCAGCCUUCAUGAUGCUGGGAAAGGACUUGUACACACAUCUUCCCAGAACAUGGCACGGCGUGGGGCAGGGUUGCACUCCAGACAUAAGUACCGACCGGCAGGCAAGUUUUUUUUUUCUUUUCCUUCCACCUGCUGCCUUUACCUUAAUCCCACAGGCUUUGAUAGUUAUUUCCUCAUUGAUCUGAACCGCAGGAGACUGGAGUCUGAUAGGACUUCUCUCUCCUCCAGCCUCAGCUUCCCCAUCUCCUGCCUGCUCAUCCUUGGGGCUCGCCCCAUGGCCACUAGCUCACAAACCUGCAGCCACUUGGCUCUCUGCGCGUCCUGUUGAAAGAAUUGCAGAGAAGAAACCUGAGGGCAUCACCACGGAAAAGCAGAGCAGGAGGAGACAAGGGCAGUGCAAGGACAUAUCUCCUCUGGUUGGCUUUAUGUGGUUAUUUCAUACAUUGGCUUAGUGCAGGAGAUCAUGUCCCCCUAGUGGCCAGCCCCAGUCAUGAACAAUCAGCUCAUGGCUCACAGCUCAAAGGAGUUACUACUUUAAGGCAAGGGGUUGGGGCUUGUGAUUUCAGGGCUGAAGCUCCCACUUUAGAUGCACAGUCAAGCCAUGAAGCCAGUUUUUCGGUAGAGAGGGGCCCGAGCCCGGCCAAUCAGCCUGCCCUGGGGAAGGAACACAACCCCUGAGGAAGGGAGGGCAGCUCCAGGAUGGGCCAGCUGGGAUGCUUGGGGGGAGCACUAGGAAUGCAGGGAGUGGAGGAGAUUUGUAGGGAAUGUCUGCAGCUGGGGAAUGAGGGCUUGGUGUUGUAGGGCACCCCCGUCUGGAGCGCUCAGCUAGGGCAGGUACUUCCUCUCUCAGGUAACCCAGUAACUUCACUUCAGGCUCUCUUGGCACAAUUAUACCCUCCAUGGGGCUGGCUUGUUAUACAACCCCCUUGACAAAAUAGUCCAUAACAAAAGACUCAAACACAGUCCGUUUGUCACUGCCGCGUCCCUCGAUGCCCCACAUGCUACACACAGAUGCCUUCAACCAUGUGUGGCAUCUCUGUUGAUUGUCUUCUGUUACCCCUGCUCUUCCCAAUGAGACCCCAUCCGUGACCUCUCUGCUGGGAGCGUCCUCACCCUGUGAGUGCCCCUCACUCUCUCUGGCCCUCCCACGGCUCCCUCUGCUGCUGCUUCUGCCUUUAGCCCUCUGGCCCUGGCUCUCUGGCUUGGGGACCCCCAGCCAGAAAACCCUUCUUCCUGCUCUCCUGCCUUCGGUCUUCUCCAAGGUCCCAUACACACCGUCUCUGGCAGCUCUCACCUCUGGUCCUUCUCCUGCUGCCUCUAUUUCGCUGGGUCUCCUCCUCACCAGUCAGUCUCCCAGCAGGUUCCCACUGUCCCUGGCACUCACUCCCAGGGGAUUUCCUGCUUUCACAGCUCCUUGUCUGCUCCCUCUGUCCCUUUCCCGACUCACUCUCAGGCCUGAUGGAUCCAGCCUUCCCCUCACUGGGACCCCCUCCUCUAGGGCCCAGCUGCCCUCUUUUAAGCCCCAUGCUGCAGUGACCUGAUAAGGCACAGGCCCAGCUCCUCAUUCAAGGACCAGUGUCCCCCUAUGACACUGGGUCACUGGCCACCAGUGGCUGAAGAAGUCCAGCUUUUCUGUUCAGCUGGGAAUUGCUUAAAAAAAACCUUGUAAAAGCAAUAUUAUUCUUCAAGCAUCAUCAUCAUUAUGAUCAUGUUCCCAUUAUGCCUCUGGCAUUUAGGGCAGCAACAAAGCUCCUCCACUCCCGUCUGUUUCUGUCAAGUCUGGUUCAAUGCACAGAGGAUUGGAGCUCCAUCAUUGCCAGGAGGCGUUGGAGAUGGAUUGGCCAUGUGCUUCAGCUGGAAAUCAGUUCCAUCACCAGAAUAGCAAUAAGAUUGACACCUGAAGACAAGCGAAAACGAGGCUGCCCACAAACAACAUGGCAAAGAGCUGUGGAAGCUGAGCUGAAAACCUGGGGCACAGCUGGGGAACCAUUUUCAAGCAUGGAGGUGGUUAAUACUCUCCAUCUCCUCCCAGGUGCUGCUGUCCAGGCCCUAUCUCCUGACCCUCCCCAGUGCUCUGAUUUUGGUCAGCCGUGGUCCUGCAGACUUACAGAGUAUUUUUUAUACACACUGGCUGGUCAACACCCAAUGUAUCUCUCGCCUGAUCAGUUACAUCUCUCUGCUCUUUGGCAGGUCAGAAGUAUACUUUCUCUGCCAGGGUAAGAGACAUGGGGAUGUCAGAGCCUAGAGAAUCCAUUUCAUGAGCCUUGGAGAAAAGUAUUUUCCCCCCUCCUCCCCCCAGCAGCACAUCUGAGUUUGGCAUAAGUGCUGACUUCUGUUUUUGUCAAUGGGUGCUUUUGAAGAGGUGUGUGUGUUGGGGGGAUGGAGGGAAGGGCACUCUGCCAGUUUGGGGAGGAGGCUAUUUUCAGCCUAUUUAUACACUACUUUCAUAUUCUGGUUAAUGAAUAUGUGUCUAUGUGACAUUCCUCUGGUGUUAUCUGGACUAGUGCACAGGCAACGUGUGAGUAUGCGGUAUUGGUGCGGGUGGUGGGUGAAGCUUCUCCUUCCACCAUCUUCUGGCUUAUCUUAUCUGGACUGGUGAUCUGCUAGGUCACUCCAAUCCUUGACCCUGGGAGCCAGUGUUUCCCUGCUGUGAGAACUCCCAUUCCCGGGUUGUUCACGCACAGCCUCUGGCAUGUAAGCUGCUCCCAGCUACAUGAGUGAACACUUUUGGCCAGCUGCUGCUUGGAUGUGCAACCAAAUGACACUAGUCAAUAUCUCUGGGCCCAGACACAACCCUGGGAACCUCCAUCUUGCAGUGGCCAGUUAUGCCCACUGAGUGCUGCAAACUUAUAUGAGUUUGUCAAUUUAAACAAAGAAAUUGAUAUGUACCAGGC
Molecule: long non-coding RNA, 5505 nt
Organism: Gopherus evgoodei (Goodes thornscrub tortoise)
Lineage: Eukaryota; Metazoa; Chordata; Testudines; Testudinidae
Exons: 3
Source: RefSeq, a predicted model, not a curated record